UACGGAGGGGGCUAGCGUUGUUCGGAAUUACUGGGCGUAAAGCGUGCGCAGGCGGUUUUGUAAGCCAGAUGUGAAGUCCCCGGGCUUAACCUGGGAAUGGCAUUUGGGACUGCAAGGCUGGAGUGUGGCAGAGGAGACUGGAAUUCCUGGUGUAGCAGUGAAAUGCGUAGAUAUCAGGAGGAAUACCGAUGGCGAAGGCAGGUCUCUGGGCUGACACUGACGCUCAUGCACGAAAGCGUGGGGAGCAAACAGG
This 253-nucleotide ribosomal RNA is filed under the name uncultured bacterium. Its description in RNAcentral is "partial 16S ribosomal RNA". It matches the Rfam family "Bacterial small subunit ribosomal RNA", at positions 524 to 776 of the family's 1533-position model. The record is from RNAcentral.